AGAGCCACCGGAUCGACACCGCGGGUGACGACGAGAUAGUCGCGGAUCGCGAUGCUGUGGCGGCCCUC
RNAcentral lists this small RNA (68 nucleotides) under Mycobacterium sp. ACS1612. RNAcentral describes it as "ASdes TB sRNA". It matches the Rfam family "ASdes TB sRNA". Lineage: Bacteria; Bacillati; Actinomycetota; Actinomycetes; Mycobacteriales; Mycobacteriaceae. The record is from Rfam by way of RNAcentral.